This 91-nucleotide transfer RNA is filed under the name bacterium. RNAcentral describes it as "tRNA-Ser". It matches the Rfam family "tRNA". From Rfam's summary of the family: Transfer RNA (tRNA) molecules are approximately 80 nucleotides in length. The record is from RNAcentral.
GGACAGGUGGGUGAGUGGCUUAAACCAGGGGAUUACUAAUCCUCCGAACGUUCAUAGCGUUCCGUGGGUUCGAAUCCCACCCUGUCUGCCA